Molecule: ribosomal RNA, 574 nt
Filed under: Laternula cf. bullata LT-2017
Lineage: Eukaryota; Metazoa; Mollusca; Bivalvia; Laternulidae
Description: partial 12S ribosomal RNA
Rfam family: Bacterial small subunit ribosomal RNA
Source: RNAcentral
CACUUUUCACUCAAGUUAACUUUAACGAAGGCAUAAAGAGGUAAAGGGGGUAACGCAAGGAGGCGGCAUAAGGACUUACUCGUGUAAGAGGCACUUAAACAGUCUACGUCCGGUCUAGUCCUUCUACAAUCCUGGAACCAGAAAUUUAGGGCAUGGACAGGGAUUUGGUACCCCAUUACUCCUAAACGUAAAUUGGUGCCUGGGAACUACGAACCGCUGUUUAAAACCCAAAGAACUUGGCGGUGAUACAGAUCAGUCUAGGGGAGCAUGACUGUUAAUUCGAUAUUCCACGAAAAUCUUACCUUUCCUUGUAGUCAGCUUGUAUACCGUCGUUGUCAGUCUUUCUUGUGAAGGGGGAAAAGGAGACUCAAUCUACAGAUGCCCAAUUAAGAAGUAGGACAAAUUAGGGUGCUGCUAGGUGACUUCAGAUAAACGUGCAGCCUAUGGAAAGGGCUUGGUUUUGCUACAAUUCUUUUGGAAGUACGGAGCUCAAAACACAACUCUUGAAACUGAGGAGCGAAGGUGGACUUAGCAGUAAACAGAGCUAUCUUGAACAUCGGUGGUUGUAUCGCGU